Molecule: long non-coding RNA, 761 nt
Filed under: Phaseolus vulgaris (common bean)
Lineage: Eukaryota; Viridiplantae; Streptophyta; Magnoliopsida; Fabales; Fabaceae
Description: long non-coding RNA (PVUL_LNC003182)
Source: RNAcentral
UGCAGUUUCAGAUAUGCAUCUGUUCUUAUACAUACUUGUGUUUGUGAUCCAUUAAUUCUAGGAGUUGAUGUCUUGUGGGCCACAAUAAACAACAUCUAGAACUUGAAAAUAGGCAUCUGGUUCCAUAAUAAUGCCAAUUUCAAACGUUUUUAUGAUCAACUAAUGUGAUAUACACAGCAUGAUACACAGUGUUACUGUGGAUUUGUUCAGGUUUGCAAUUGCAAUAGCUUAGGAAAAAGGUGAAGAGGAACUAAGAUGGCACGUCCACCGUUCAUUUGAUGAAAAAGGGAACCCUACAUAUAACAUAACUGUGAUGUCAUCUUCCUCCUUCACCUUGGAUGUGACUGCUGAAUAUGGUAUCAUAUAAUAAUGAUUAAUCAAUGAAUAUACCAUGACCACAUAACCAUAUUCUCUAUUGCUCUUCGUUCGUGGACACCACGUACUUAUUAAACAUUCAAAAACAAAUCUAAUUCCAAAUUUGGACUUGAAAAGUUGAGAUGAACACCAAAUAUAUCAGAAUUGUUGUCGUGAUAUCUAUGCUUCAAAUUCUGGGCUGAUUCGAUUCUAUGUGCUUCUGGAGUUGUACUUGAAGAAAGAAAUAUGAAUAAAAGAAAAAGAAGGUGGUAGUGUGUCAAGAAAAUGUUUAUCAAAGUUGAAACCCUUCUUCCACCAUGAUGAGGAAUAUUGUGGUGAAAAGAUAAAGUAGGAAAAGUUUCCAUGGCCACAAAACAUAAUUCACAAGCUUCUCUGCUUUUGGCCCC